This is a long non-coding RNA of Myxocyprinus asiaticus (Chinese sucker), 4839 nucleotides long. RefSeq lists it as uncharacterized. The record is from RefSeq and is a predicted model, not a curated record. Lineage: Eukaryota; Metazoa; Chordata; Actinopteri; Cypriniformes; Catostomidae. The transcript is spliced from 3 exons.
UAAGCAGGAGGUGACAUUGCCCACCACACCACAGGUGAUCAUGCUAGGUACGAGAAAUAGUUGCAUAGUUUCAAGGAGAGGAGGAUGUUUUAAUAGCAAUGUAUGUUGUGGUUUUCUAUUACAUGCUGCAAAUGAGCUGAAGAUGCCUUUGUUUUGGGGAGUAGUUUGAUGUCUGCAACCCACUGGAUGGUCAGCACUGAGGGAAGGUCUUCUAAGCUUACCAGCUGUAUGACUUCACCAGUGCUUUCGCUGUCUUUUUCGGCUCCUUUUAUGUAUUCAGUCUGGAGUAUCAAGAGUCAGCAUCCACUAUGCUGAAGAUGGUACAGAGAUUCUUCGUAAGGAUCAACCCGGAUGAGGGCACCAAGUGCACGGCCAAAGUUGGCACAAGUCGCAAGACGGGAGGUGUUGUCCAGAGAAAGGUGACCAUCGUCAGCUCCCGGGUCACAACUUUCCUCCAGUGGCUCACCGAAUUUGAGUGGAAGACUUCAAACUAGAUUAGCUGUCAGCAACGUACCAGUCUAGCCAGCCUAGGAUGGACUCCGUAAGCUCAGUGCCUGUAGGCUAACACAUAAGCUAAACCAACUGUGGUUUGUUUUGUUAUAUUCCUUAUCUUGUUCUCUUUCUGUUCUGGAGAUAUUCAUUCAUUCUCAGGGUGGACGUAGAAGUUAUAUCUCUUUACAAUUUCUCCAAUUCUGAUGAAACUUGUAGGUGAUGAAGCUUGUUAAGCUUGGAAUCUUAGAGGUUAUGAACCUACAUGAAGUAAUGACUGUUCUCGCUUUUAUAGUGUUCGACUUACUGUCAAAUUAUUCUUAAAGAUACUGUUAUAUUUUUAUGAUUUCAUCAAUUGUCAGAAGUAUUUGUAUGCACCGCUGAAUCACAUUGUUCAAUAAGCCAUUAAUAAUGGAUGUAAUUAAUAAUGACAGAAAGAAUUAAAAAAAUUAUUACUGUUGUACAUGGACUAGUCACUUAUUUGGAAUUUAUUAAAUUCAAUAGCAUUCAUGUAAAAUAUUCAAAAUAAAGAUUUUGUACUGCCAGUGCCAAAUAGUGUAAAAUACUGUGAAACACAAUUACAGUAAAAGUAUUAUGCAGCAAGACAAUUACAGUAUCAUUCAGCAAAUUAUUACAGUACAAUUACUGUAAGGUUAUUAUACUGUAAAACCAAGUUCCAGUAAGGGUAUUACACUGUAAAAGGAAGUUGCAGUAGGGGUAUUUGUGACGAGAAGGAGGGCGUAACCGGGCUGUGAGGAUGCGAGCCUGGCGCCGAGUUGCCAAUCUGCGGGAGAGGGAUAGAGGAGGAGACGGGGAUGCCAGAGAGAGAGAGAGAGAGAGAGACUUGGAGCUGUGUGUGUGUGUAUUAGGGCUGCCCCCUAAUAGUCGACCAAACAUUGGUCGAUGGGAAGAGUCUUGGUCGACCAAGUUUUGAUUGGUCGGUUGGUCACAGAAAAAAAAAUAAAAAAUAACUCCACAGGAAACCGACAAACACCGGUAUUAUGCGCAAGGUGCUACGCAGUGGCGUAUCCAGGACAUUUUUACUGGGGUGACCAAGAUGGGGCACAGACCUAGUGUGGGGUGACGAUACCGGGAGAACCUUUAUGAAUGGCACAUGAUCAAAAUGUGUAAAUAUCGCAUUGCUUUGCUUCAACAUCUACACAUGUAGAAUAAAUGAAUUCUUAAACUCAUGUUAGCAUUCACUGAAUUGUUUGUAUUCAAUAUCAGACUGUUGUUUUGACAUUUGACCGUUUUCUAUUCCUGUUCUAUUUCAACCUAUUACAGUUUCUGGGAAUCUCUGGUUAUUUUAACAUAACAUCCAUUUUUAAAUCAGUAAUUGUUUAGUAAAAGUCAGUUACACAUUUUUAAGAGCUAUUCUCAUUGUAGAGAAUUAAUCUGCGUAUAACAUCAGGUAUAGUGUAUAAUCAUAAAAAGAUACAAGUACAGCUGAUAACUGACUGAGGCGCAAUUCAAUCAAUCAUUCAAUCAAUUAUUCAUUCAUUUAUUAGCUAUAAUUGCACUGUCCAGCAGAAAUAUUGGGUACAAAUCAGUGUGUGAAAUUGGCUACGAGGGCUUAUAGGUGUCUGUCUGGAAACCCCAAAAUUGCAGAUUGAGCUCUGAAUACAGUAAAAAACAAAACUCUAUUUACAGUGUCUACUCAGGUUUAUUUUCCACAUGUUCUGAUAGCUUUUUAAUUUAGCAAUUACUUUGAAUAUUACCAAAUAAAAUAGUUAGUCAAAUCAUUUGUGGCAUUUAAGUGCAAUUUGCCCUGCCUCUUCAUAUUUAAAAUGUCAAAUAAGGUAUAAAAUCUCUGAAGAUUUUAUUGGUCUGACUGACCAAUAAUACACAUAAAGAGCUCAUAAAUAACUAAUGUAAAUAUUUAAAGUACAGUCACAGCACAAACCCCGCUGCCUGCGACCUGCGUCACCUGCCUGGCCACCCGCGGCCUGCCCCUCCCCCACUGAUCAAAGAUCAGUUCACACAGCUUCAGUCCCACCACUACUAUAAUGGUCAGAAAUAUAAAACUGACCCUGGGUCAGUGUGGCUCUAAAUCAACAAAUGACCUGAGAUGUCAUCUUUGAUUGACAGGUGUUUCUAUUGGUUCUUCGUUCUUGUGCUGAUGAACAUGAUGAACUACCAGUCAAUUCUGGGGUGGCCACAGGGUGGCCAGUGAGAUUUCAGGGGUGGCCCCUAAAAUCGCCACUGGUGCUAUGGGGUAAUUUUCGUUAAGCAGGGUUAGGGUUAAGCCUACACAAAGCCAGACACCUUGAUUACAAACUUUGAACUUUAUUUUUUAUUUGAACUAAAAAUGAAACUGGAAAAAAAUGAAGUACAAUUAAAAUGUGUGUUGUUCAACUUUUUGAAAGAUGGUUUAACAACAGUUGUCAAUAUCUCUUUGGAAACUAACCUACUUCUUCUGGGCAUUCUCUAUAUACCUCGCAAUAUCCAAUAACAUCGGCAACCCCUGGGCUGAGGGGUCGGUGAAUAUUUUUGCUUUAGUGAUUUCACAUUGAAAAUGUAAUUAAAAAACAAAAAACUUAAAUCAAAUACAUUUCUAAAUUUAAAUUGCACUCCAAACGAAAUGAAAAAGCAAUUAAAAUAAUGAAGCGAUAAAAGAAUAAUAAAUAUAUACACCUUUCCAUUUACCGUCAGGCAAGAAUCCGUCUUAACAUGCAGGCGGAAAAUUACUUACACAAAUGAAGACAUAAAAAGAUUUAUAAAUGUAAACAUAAUAAUUAUAAUGAUGAUAAUAAUCACUGAAAUAUAAAUCAUGGUUCGAGGUGAAUGUGUUUUUUGUAUUAUUUUAUGUUUUAAUCACAGAUGUAUAGGUUGCAGAGUUGUGUUCACAGUGAACUGCUCUGUAGAAAUAAAGCGAACUGAACUCAAAGCACCUCCUGAGCUGAGAUGUCGGAGGUCAUUUGCAGCACUCAUAGACGAUACUGUUCUUGCAAAAAAAUAAAAAAAAAUCAGAAGACAGAAACAAAGAAAGAGUGAGAACCUUUUACAUGCGCGUGUUCCACAAGAUUGAACGCCUCCAUAUCAGCGUGUCUUACAUGCGCAUAGACGGCUUUUCUGUCAUCUGUUCUUAUUAAUAUAAUAAAGUGUUUCUUCAAGCACGUGUCUGUGUGUCUACGGGCAAAUUACUUGUAAUAUUAAUUUGAUAAUAAUAAUAGCCUAAUAAUAAUAAUAAUAAUAAUAAUAAUAAUUUAAUACAUGGGAAAACGAGCGAAAUAUCAUCUUGACAUCGUCAAAAGCAUCAGCUAUUGGCGAUCACUCUGACCAAUGACCAUCUUCGAUCCCCAAGAUCAUCAUCUGUCAGCAAAACCCUAAUGUGCAUUUCUCUCUAUAAAUUAACAAAAUGUACAGACAGUCUCCUUGCUGGUUUUUCCGACACAUUCAGGAUCAUUACCGCUUUUGCUGGUGUCGCUGCAGCUUGCAUCGUGCGUGCGCUUGUAAAAUUUAUAUUACGGUUUAGUAUUUCUCUGUAAUGCAGAACAGUGAUAGCAAUGUUACUUAUAACAUUCUUUCUCAACCUAAUCGACUAAUGGCUUAAACUAACAACUAUUAGUCGACUAGGAAAAUCUUUGGUCGGGGGCAGCCCUAGUGUGUAUCAACAUGUGUUGUUAUGUUUCAGUUCAGCAUUUUGUGUUGGAAUUAAAGUCUUGUUAAUUGAUAAUUGUUAACCCGGUUCUCGCUUCCUUCUUUCCCGAUGAACGAGAGGCUUGUCUGCCACACUGGUGCCGAAACCCGGGACUGGAGGAAGACACGCCAUCAGAGAGCCAACGCUGCUGACAGAGGAUCACAACGCCGAGGAGAGGAUUGGUUCUAUGGUACUGGAACGGUCCGCCAGGAGACGGAGGAAAUGCUGCCAUACACCAGGAGGUGGAGGAGCUGUUACCGUCAACAGGGGACAGAGGAGUCACUGCCAUCUGCCAGGAGGCGGAGGAGCCGUUGCCUCCGCCAGGGGACGGAGGACCCGCUGCGUCUACCGGGAAACGGAGGAACCACUGCUGUCCGCCAGGGGAUCCAGUGCCAUCGCCCGGCGUUGCGGAGGAUCGCUGGACAGCUGGUUGAGACCGAAUGGCGGUAUGGUCGUGAACCGGAGUUUUUUUUUUUUGGGGUCACACCCAAUGCUGUAGACGAAUGGUAACUGUCUUGUUGCCUCGCUGCCCUUUCAGUCAAUGACUCAACAGACAGCGUGUGUGUACAAAGAUCUGUCCAGAAACUGGUUUUGGACAGGCUACUGAGGCAGCAUAACUUCACAUCUUGCUAAGAUACCAGCAACUGAUUAUCGACAUCUGGUGUCCACUAAAGGUAACGCGUCUGCUUCAGUCAGUCCAACUGAACCAC